GAUGAAGGACGUGCUAAUCUGCGAUAAGCGUCGGUAAGGUGAUAUGAACCGUUAUAACCGACGAUUUCCGAAUGGGGAAACCCAGUGCAAUUCGUUGCACUAUCGUUUGAUGAAUACAUAGUCAAACGAGGCGAACCGAGGGAACUGAAACAUCUCAGUACCUCGAGGAAAAGAAAUCAACCGAGAUUCCCCUAGUAGCGGCGAGCGAACGGGGAGCAGCCCAGAGUCUUAAUCAGCAUUAGCAUCAGGAGAACGGUCUGGAAAGGCCGGCAGUAAAGGGUGAUAGCCCCGUAUCCGAAGGUGUUAGUGUUGUGAACUCGACGAGUAGGGCGGGACACGUGUUAUCCUGUCUGAAUAUGGGGGGACCAUCCUCCAAGGCUAAAUACUCCUGAUUGACCGAUAGUGAACCAGUACCGUGAGGGAAAGGCGAAAAGAACCCCGGCGAGGGGAGUGAAAUAGAACCUGAAACCGUGUACGUACAAGCAGUGGGAGCACCUUUGUGGUGUGACUGCGUACCUUUUGUAUAAUGGGUCAGCGACUUAUAUUCUGUAGCAAGGUUAACCGUAUAGGGGAGCCGUAGGGAAACCGAGUCUUAACUGG
This 600-nucleotide ribosomal RNA is filed under the name Salmonella enterica subsp. enterica serovar Agona. Its description in RNAcentral is "partial 23S ribosomal RNA". It matches the Rfam family "Bacterial large subunit ribosomal RNA", at positions 48 to 691 of the family's 2925-position model. Lineage: Bacteria; Pseudomonadati; Pseudomonadota; Gammaproteobacteria; Enterobacterales; Enterobacteriaceae. The record is from RNAcentral.